AAACCAACAGGGAUUGCCCCAGUAACGGCGAGUGAAGCGGCAAGAGCUCAAAUUUGAAAUCUGGCCUCCCCCGGGGGUCCGAGUUGUAAUUUGCAGAGGAUGCUUCGGGCGCGGCCCCCGUCUAAGUUCCUUGGAACAGGACGUCAGAGAGGGUGAGAAUCCCGUCUUGGGCGGGCGGCCCGCGCCCGUGUGAAGCUCCUUCGACGAGUCGAGUUGUUUGGGAAUGCAGCUCUAAGCGGGUGGUAAAUUUCAUCUAAAGCUAAAUACCGGCCGGAGACCGAUAGCGCACAAGUAGAGUGAUCGAAAGGUUAAAAGCACCUUGAAAAGGGAGUUAAACAGCACGUGAAAUUGUUGAAAGGGAAGCGCUUGCGGCCAGACUCGGGGGGCGGGGUUCAGCGGGCGCUCGUCGCCCGUGCACUGCCCGCUCCCCGGGCCAGCAUCAGCUUCGACGGCCGGUCAAAGGCCCCCGGAAUGUGUCGUCUCUAGGGACGUCUUAUAGCCGGGGGUGCAAUGCGGC
This 517-nucleotide ribosomal RNA is filed under the name Trichophyton rubrum. Its description in RNAcentral is "partial large subunit ribosomal RNA". It matches the Rfam family "Eukaryotic large subunit ribosomal RNA", at positions 62 to 579 of the family's 3401-position model. The record is from RNAcentral. Lineage: Eukaryota; Fungi; Ascomycota; Eurotiomycetes; Onygenales; Arthrodermataceae.